Non-coding RNA from Acanthosepion pharaonis, 112 nucleotides. The record is from the annotation of a GenBank genome assembly. Lineage: Eukaryota; Metazoa; Mollusca; Cephalopoda; Sepiida; Sepiidae.
UUGCGGCCACAUCAUGUUGAAAUAUCGGUUCCCGUACGAUCACCGUAGUUAAGCAGCAUCGUGCUCGACAGUAUCUAGAUGGGUGACAGCUUGGGAAUACCAGGUGCUGUAA